RNAcentral lists this ribosomal RNA (292 nucleotides) under uncultured Tepidimonas sp. Its description in RNAcentral is "partial 16S ribosomal RNA". It matches the Rfam family "Bacterial small subunit ribosomal RNA", at positions 505 to 796 of the family's 1533-position model. Lineage: Bacteria; Pseudomonadati; Pseudomonadota; Betaproteobacteria; Burkholderiales. The record is from RNAcentral.
GUGUCAGCCGCCGCGGUAAUACGUAGGGUGCGAGCGUUAAUCGGAAUUACUGGGCGUAAAGCGUGCGCAGGCGGUUGUGUAAGACAGGCGUGAAAUCCCCGGGCUCAACCUGGGAAUGGCGCUUGUGACUGCACGGGUGGAGUGCGGCAGAGGGGGAUGGAAUUCCGCGUGUAGCAGUGAAAUGCGUAGAUAUGCGGAGGAACACCGAUGGCGAAGGCAAUCCCCUGGGCCUGCACUGACGCUCAUGCACGAAAGCGUGAGGAGCAAACAGGAUUAGAAACCCCCGUAGUCC